AGAUUUGGAAAAGGUUCUUGACCCAGUGCAUGUGCAAGGCCGAGGUGCACCGAAGAAAAGGCUGCAGGCAAAGAUGAAGAAGCAAAGAUCAAAGAGGAAAUGUGGCUACUGUGGGGUGGAAGGUCAUAAUCGGCGUAAAUGCAAUAAAUUGAAAGAGGAAAUGAUGGCAGCAAACUGUUAGCUACAGCUCUCUGUACAAGGCCAUUGGCAAAAUGGACGCAGCUGUUGAGCCUCAAGAGAGUGAUGUUGUGUUGGUGGCGAAGUGCCCCAACCCUGAAUAUCCUAUGAAUGCCAUGUGAAGGAGGGUAUGAGGAAGAUUUUGGAUGGUCAGCGACAAGGGCGUCAUCAAGAAGAACAGGGAGCUGCAUGCAUUUCCUGGGUAGCAGUUCUAACUGUUUUUGUCAUAUCUCAUUGUGGAUUAGUGAGAAUGUUAUGUAAUUAGUGAUCUGCAGUCCAGAUAGUUUAGCAAGUGAGAUGUUUGCUGUGUUGAGGAUGUCAGAUUGCUCGGCUGCAGGUGGGGAACAGUGCCGACUUUGUGUUUUUGUGGACGGGUCGAGGCAUAUUCUAUCAGAUUUUCUAUACUGUGCUUUCAGGAUGUUGUAUAAUACAAUUUGCUGGAGCAUGCCAUCGCUUAUACAGGUUUAAGAUUAUGCAUUUUACAUGUGACGUUGGCAGGCAUAUGAUUAUGCGCGUUUUCGGAUCUAGAUAUAUACAAUGACGCACACAUUCGCCUUUAACAGUAGAUUUU
Non-coding RNA from Aegilops tauschii subsp. strangulata, 748 nucleotides. NCBI's taxonomy places the organism in Eukaryota, Viridiplantae, Streptophyta, Magnoliopsida, Poales, Poaceae. The record is from RefSeq and is a predicted model, not a curated record.